This is an RNA transcript of Hypanus sabinus (Atlantic stingray), 2083 nucleotides long. It is a transcript of the gene named RNA-binding protein with multiple splicing 2, with no coding region annotated. The record is from RefSeq and is a predicted model, not a curated record. Lineage: Eukaryota; Metazoa; Chordata; Chondrichthyes; Myliobatiformes; Dasyatidae. The transcript is spliced from 9 exons.
GUUACAUUAAAUUCCGGCCAGCUUCCUCGUUGAUGAUCAAAUUGGAGAGGAGUUUCGCCGGGCUAGGAACUGACCGCCCGCCUGUCCUUUGACCAAUUCUGCUCCUAAUUGAUAACAAGCACGUGAACAGCAUUGAUGGGAAGAAAGGGGUGGGAUUAAAGGGACACUGUUUUACCUUAUUCACCUUCACAGCGCACCUCCAUGCACUUGGAACACCUUUAGGGUUUAUUUUAUUGUAGUCUAUUGUGGUGUAUGGUUUAUCUGUUUAACCAAGCAUAAUCCAACCAUUCUCUCUCCUCACGGCUCGCCGCUCUGCUGUCUAUUACUUUGACACCAGAUCUGACCUCGACCACCACAGACCCCAGUUGAUAUUCUUUGCUUUGGGGGAAAUCAUCGCUUAUCGCUCCUGGAGACCACGACGGAGAACGGGCAACCUCCAGAGGAAAGUUUAAGCAUGAGUACGAAAGGCGAUGACCACAACAACAACAAUAACGAGGAAGAGGUCCGCACACUUUUUGUCAGUGGUCUUCCUAUGGAUAUUAAACCACGAGAGCUAUACCUACUAUUUCGGCCUUUCAAGGGGUAUGAAGGGUCACUGAUCAAACUCACUUCAAAACAGCCAGUUGGUUUUGUAACAUUUGACAGCCGAUCUGGAGCUGAAGCAGCAAAGAAUGCAUUAAAUGGUAUUCGAUUUGAUCCUGAAAAUCCUCAAACUCUCAGGUUGGAAUUUGCGAAGGCAAACACGAAGAUGGCCAAAAGCAAGCUAAUGGCUACACCCAAUCCCACAAACAUGCACCCUGCCUUGGGAGCACACUUCAUUGCACGGGACCCCUAUGACCUUGCAGGAACAGCACUCAUCCCUGCAUCUCCAGAGGCCUGGGCUCCCUAUCCACUGUACACAACAGAACUGACCCCUGCCAUCCCACAUGCUGCGUUCACCUACCCUGCUGCUGCUGCUGCAGCUGCUGCACUUCACGCUCAGGGGUCAGAGGCUUGUGGUUGUGCAGGAUAAACUUCAAGCAAGAAUGGAUUAUUAAAAGAAAUCAAUGCGCUGGUAUCCUCCGUCUGAAGCUUCUCCGCAAGGAUGGAAGUCCCGUCAGUUUUGCUAAGUAUUUAACUACUCCAAUUCAACGAUUAGCAUUUCUCCGUGGAGCAAUAGUCAAGGACAGACUGGAUUUUGUUUUGAGGGUCAUUGGUUGAAGGAGAUGUUGAACAACUGCUUCAUUUUCCUCUGCACUGGAGCAGUCACUGGCCUGUGGAUUAAAGAACUUUUGGUGAACUUUCAGGUGGGAGAACCUGUAAGCUGUCAGUCUGAUCAAUCCAUCUGGUGCAAGGACCAACUACAAAAAGGCACCACUGCUGUGAAAUUUCAGAAUUUAAGGUUGACAUUGAUGGAACUGAAUUACAAAGACCAAUGUGGAAUGCUGGUGGUCGUCUUGUAAAAUUUUCGUUUUGUAAAUGUCUCCAUCUAGUUUCGCCCACAUCCCCAUUCUUGUCCUUUCUCCCUCACCUGUCCACAUUCCUAUUGAUCAUGUGUAUCCAACAUGUGAAGAUGGUUCUGCAAAGCGCAAUUACUCUCCCAAUUUGUAACAUUCUUCAGUGAAGGGGCCUCCUCGACACUGCUGUUGGAAGGCUUGGUUUAUUUUUAGGAUGUCCACCUGUAUAUUGAAGUUCUCGCAGUCUCUGUUCCAUUGCCCUGGCUAGUUACUGUGCCUCCUGGAGAACCAAUCUUGCCAAAUAUCAGCUGUUCCUGUUAAAAGUAUUUUGAACAAUAUUGAGUACAAGUAUUUUUGUACUGGUGUAAUGAAGAAUAUUUAUGCAUCAAGGAUUUUUUGUGCAAUUAAAAUUGUAAUCUGUAUUAUAACUUAAUGUUAGUUCAGUUGAGAUUGGAAAUGCUGAAUAUAGCUCAAUGGUAGUUUAAAAGUGCAAUUGUAUUGUGUUUUUUGCUUACUUUUGCUGUUAAGUACUUAAAGUAUUAGAAGUGUGAUUGCAAAGCUUGUACAAGGACUGCAAGAUUUUGAGAUGCAAUUUGCUGUUCCUUCUAGAAUGUGAAACUCAAUUAUAAAAGAUGAUGAUAAAAAAC